RNAcentral lists this ribosomal RNA (583 nucleotides) under uncultured bacterium. RNAcentral describes it as "bacterial SSU rRNA". It matches the Rfam family "Bacterial small subunit ribosomal RNA", at positions 338 to 916 of the family's 1533-position model. The record is from RNAcentral.
CCUACGGGAGGCAGCAGUUAGGAAUAUUGUGCAAUGGGGGAAACCCUGACACAGCCAUGCCGCGUGUGUGAAGAAGGCCCUAGGGCUGUAAAGCACUUUCAGUAGGGAGGAAUUAGCAAGGCUAAUACUCUUGUGAAAUGACGUUACCUACAGAAGAAGAUCCGGCUAACUUCGUGCCAGCAGCCGCGGUAAUACGAAGGGGGCGAGCGUUAUUCGGAAUUAUUGGGCGUAAAGGGCUCGCAGGCUGCUUGAACAGUUAGACGUGAAAUCCCCGGGCUUAACCUGGGAACUGCGUUUAAUACUAGCAAGCUAGAGAAAUAGAGAGGAAAGUGGAACUCCCAGUGUAGAGGUGAAAUUCGUAGAUAUUGGGAAGAACACCAGUGGCGAAAGCGACUUUCUGGCUAUUUUCUGACGCUGAGGAGCGAAAGCGUGGGGAGCAAACAGGAUUAGAUACCCUGGUAGUCCACGCCGUAAACGAUGUGUGCUAGAUGUUGGAGGGUUACCUUUCAGUGUCGCAGCUAACGCACUAAGCACACCGCCUGGGAAGUACGGUCGCAAGAUUAAAACUCAAAGGAAUUGACGG